GAAGCCAUGGUUAGGGUUUUCAAGCUUCUAAGCUCGAUUGUAAGUCCGUUCUAACCCCGUUUUUAAUGUUCUUUACGUUUUUAGAGUAUCGGUAACUUGAUUUAGCUUAUUCUAGCAAUAAUUUAACCUAGGUUUUAUAUUUGGAAAAAUACCCAUAGGUGUAAUGUGUUUAUUUUGAUGUUUUAUGGUAGAAUAUGAAGCUAGAAAUUAUGUUAAACAACUUUUACUAAGCGAUUUUAAGUGAAAACGAGUAAAACGACAUAAUCUGUAAAAAUACCUAAUAUUCAUAAGUAAGUGUUAGAGUGGGAAUUUGAUGUUGCCAUAGAAGAGAAAAAAUGUUCAGCAUGUCAUAAAACAUAAUAAUAAGAGAUGAAUUUUAAUUUCCGAGCUUUAGGGCAAAAGUGUAAAUAUGCAAAAGUUUAGGGGCAAAAUCGUAAUUUUGCCAAAUUUUGAGUCAAGGACUGUUUUGAUGAAUGUGAGUGUUAAAUAAUUUAAAUGUGUCAUUAUAAGUCAAGAAAGACAAAGAAUUGACUUUGAUUAGUGAAAAAGAAAAGUGAGAAAAAGUGAGAAAUUCCCAGUUGAACCUUCGGAAAAAACAAGGAUACAAAUGAAGUGAUAGAAAUGAUCACAUAUGUGGCAUGGACUGUGUGUAGGCCACUAUGUGAAAGUGAGUGAUGGUCACGUGUGUAGUACUAUGUGCAGGCUACUACGUGUACCAGAAAGAUAGGUCGCAUGUGUAGUACUAUGUGCAGGCUACUAUGCGUACCGGAUAGCUUCGAUCACGUGUGUACUAUGUGCAGGCUUCUACGUGUAUCAGAUAGUGAUGGUCACAUGUGUAGUACUAUGUGUAGGCUACUAUGUGAACCGGUAUCAUUAAUUAUAAGGUGGUUGCUAUGUGCUGAUCCCACCAGAUAUCACUGAUUACAAAGGGUGGUUGCUGUGUGCUGAAUCUACCGUGUAUCUGUUAUUAUUCCGAAGUGUUCAUCGGGAAAUUGACUAAGUGAAAAUACAUGAGAUCAUGUAACGAUUAAGUGUAAUUGAAUAAUGAAUAUGAAUGGAAUUGAAUUGAAUAUUGACUUGAAAAUGGCAAAGUGAAUUUUGAAUUGAAUAGUGAUUGAAAGUGAAAAAGUGAAAUUAUGAAAAAGUAGAAUUAGCAACAAAAUAGUUUAGGACAGCAAUAAUCAUGUGACUUUGAAAUAUCACCAAAAAUGGUGGAAAUAGAAUUAGAGAGUGAUUAAGAUAUGAAAUGAAAGCCUAGUGAGCCUAUUUUGAUAUAAAAGAAACAGAGCAAGCAAAAGAGUUAUAUAUUUUGAGAGAUUUGAAUUUUAGUGAGACAGGGAUGGAUUGAUUUUGGAAUCCCCUGUUCUAAUUUUGGAAAAAACAUUAAACAUUGUAAAAAAAUAAUUAUGAGUUGUAAUUUAUAUGCUUAGAAUCCUUAAUGAGUCUAUUUUCAAUAGAAACAAACUAGAACACCAUUUGAAUUUUGUACAAUGAGAUAAUUCAUUUUUAGUGAAGAGUGGUCAGAACUAUCAGACUGCGUAAUAGGGUAAACUUUAAAGAAUAAACUAUACUAUUUGGAUAAACCAAAAAUUCUAAAAAUUUUUAUGGUAAGAAGAUAUGUGAGUCUAGUUUCAUGGAAAAUUAACGGUUCUUAAUUUGGAGUUCUGUAACUCCAGAUAAAAAUAAUUUAGUGAUACUGACUCAGAUAGACAACUUUGAAUAUACAUAAGGGUGAAUAAAGAAACUGUAGAAAAUGUUAUUUCUAAGAGUGUUAAGUACACUAAGGAUGUGGAAUGGAGAAGAGGAGUAGGACAAUUAAAUAUAAUUGGUUAUAUGAUCGAUUAUAAUUGAUAAACGUGGAAAUAGAAGUGAUGCUUACAUUUGUAUAUUAUUGAUCAUGGUUUAAGCUCAUAUUGGAAAAUAAAGUUUCAUAGUAUGUAUGUAUGGUAUAUUUGGUAUAUGAUUUGGUAUAAAGUAAGGCCAUGAAUGGUAUAUGGAUUAAAUGCACUAGCUUGCGACUAAGGUUGAGUGUAAUGUUUAUAUCUUGUGUGAUAUGCAUAGGAAACGAGAGUGGAAAGGAAAUGAAAUACUAAGUUCAUGCUUGAAGUGUAAAAUGACGCAAAAAGGGGACGUUAAGUUAAACGAUAAAUAUGUAUUAGUAUUGAACUUAAUGAAAUUGAACUGUACGUGAAUUAAAUGGAAAUUACAAAUGAUUUGAUUUGAAUUAAAUGAAUUAUUGUGGUAUUGAAAUGUAUAUUGGAUUGAGAAAUUGAAUUGAAUCGUGAAUAUGAGAAUCAUGAAUUAAAUGAAAUGGAAAUGAAGUAUUGAAUUGCAUGAGUAUGUAUUGGGUCUCAGAAGUCCUAUUUGUUAUAAAUAUAGUAUUUUGAAGUUAUAACUCGGUUUAAAUUUGAAUGAAAUUUUAUAACUCGGUUUAACAUGUUUAUAAGUGUAUGUGUUCUAGAAAUGCCCCGUACCCUAUUUCGGUGUCCAAUAUGGGUAAGGGGUGUUACAGGUAUAAGGAAUGAUACAAGCAGAAAAAAAUGAAGGGACAUGACGGCUGAUGGACAAUUGCCAAAAGAGGCUUAAGUGGGAAUGUGCCAGUGGAACUGCUGGAUGAAUCCGGUAGUAAAACGUGAUGAAACCUUAAAUAAUUGUUUUUGUAUAUUAUUGUAUAUUCAAC
RNAcentral lists this long non-coding RNA (2680 nucleotides) under Gossypium raimondii (Peruvian cotton). RNAcentral describes it as "long non-coding RNA (GRAI_LNC008143)". Lineage: Eukaryota; Viridiplantae; Streptophyta; Magnoliopsida; Malvales; Malvaceae. The record is from RNAcentral.